Molecule: small RNA, 57 nt
Filed under: Xanthomonas oryzae pv. oryzae
Lineage: Bacteria; Pseudomonadati; Pseudomonadota; Gammaproteobacteria; Lysobacterales; Lysobacteraceae
Description: partial sX9 sRNA
Rfam family: Xanthomonas sRNA sX9
Source: RNAcentral
AUGGACCACGCGUCCACUGCGGUUGUGAGCGCGCCGUCCGCGCCCACCUGACCGCUG